Molecule: transfer RNA, 61 nt
Filed under: Hypothenemus sp. BMNH 1039866
Lineage: Eukaryota; Metazoa; Arthropoda; Insecta; Coleoptera; Curculionidae
Description: tRNA-Val
Source: RNAcentral
CAAAUUAAAGCUUUAAGAAGCAUUUUAGUUACAUUAAAAAGAUUAUGUGUAUAUAAUUUGA